RNAcentral lists this unclassified non-coding RNA (2326 nucleotides) under Hevea brasiliensis (rubber tree). The record is from RNAcentral. Lineage: Eukaryota; Viridiplantae; Streptophyta; Magnoliopsida; Malpighiales; Euphorbiaceae.
CUCAAGUCAAGACACUAAUUUCAUUGAAAAAAAUAUGUUACAAAUGUGUAUGUUCAAGUAUGGUAUAAAACAUAUAUAAAUAAUGUAACACAUAUAUAUAGGACUCAUAGAGUAAUUACCCAUGCCAUUGCCAAGUGCAAGUGGGUUUCAUGGGAAUGUUUGAAAUAAUUACAAAAAUGAUAAUUGCUUAAUUAAUUCUCACUAUCACACAAACUAUCACACAAUGACUACACUCAAAUCAAGCCAAGAAAUCCUCUUAUUAAACUCUUGACAAUUCUUCUCCUUCAAGAACUUUACCUUCUUCUUUAAUCAUAGUCCCUAGAAUAGACAGCUCUUCUUCCUCCUUGUUAAACCCAUUCCCUUCAUCCCUAACCUUUGUUAUUUGUUCCUUGCAAGGUCCAUAAGCCCAGCUACAGAACAGAAAAUAUAGCAGAUUAACAGAACUCAUAAUUGCAAGAAGCCAGUAGUAAUUGUCAUAAUGACCCUUGUUAAUAUUAUUUGGAACCCAGCCAUCUUUGCCUCCUUUUGAUGUAAGGUGAUCAACAGCACUCAGAAUAACAGUUGCCAGCAAGUUUGCCACUGCCAUUCCUAGCCCAAAUAGAGCACCAGCAAUGCUUGAUAGGCUCUUGGGAAACUCUGAGUAAUAAAACUCAGUUUGGCCUAUUCCAUUAAAUGCCUCUGCUAAGCCAUUUAAGCAAAACUGUGGUACAAGCCAUAGUGCAGACAUGCCCAACACAGCUUGAGGAUUGUUUAGAUACCCAUGCCCGAUUGCUUUUCUUCGUCGAAUGUUUUCAACAAUUCCUGCAACCACCAUAGCUACGCAGGAAAGAAACAGGCCAAUUCCCAUCCUUAGUUUAACGCCAAGCCUCACUGGCUUACCCUUGAUUUUUGAUGCCAAGGGAAGGAUGGCUCUAUCGUAGAGAACAACCCAUGCUGCUAGAGAGAUGACUACAAACGUAGAAAAAGAGCCUGCUGGGAUUUGGAAAUUGGAGGUUAGGUGUCUGUCCAUGGAACUAGCUUGGAGCAAUUGAAAUGAGCCUUGGCUAACGUUUAUCGACAUCAUAAUCCCCGUAGACCAUAGAGGGAUAACCCUGAUAAUCGCUUUGAGCUCUUCUACUCGUUCUACUGUGCAAAGACUCCAUGGGUUUGAUGCUGAUGCAUCCGGCGCUAAAUCUUGUUCUGGGUUUCCAAUGAUGCAAGCCUUGUUCAAGAACCUAAUUGCAAUAAUUUAUUUUAUUAUUAAUGCAUUGGCUUAUAUAAUGACCAGUAUAAUGAUGAUAUAAACAUACCUUAGAUUCUCAGUUGGUGCGAUGGAUUCUGAAUUCUUCGCGUGAUGAUACUUGCUAUCUGAAUCUCUGGGAGGGAAUGGAACUUUUCUGUUCUUGUAAGCAGCCACUAGAACUUGGGCAAAGCCAGUGAAAAGACUCGUGCUUGCUUUCUGCUUGAGGUAAAGUGGAGAAGCAAUGAAGAACAAGAAAGCGGAGAGAAACAUAAGAAUUGCAGGAACUCCAUAACCCACUCUCCAACCAUGAUGGUCUUGAAUGUAAACAAUUGCUGUCAAAGCAAUCAGAACAGCAAUGGCUGUGGAGGCAUAGUACCAGCCAAAGUAGCUCUCCAAGACCCUCUCGUUUUUGGGGUCAGCUCUGUUGUCUAAUUGAUCAGCCCCAAAUGCUAAGGAGCAUGGCCUAAUGCCACCAGCUCCAAUGGAAAUUAAGCCCAUGGAAGACACAAGCAUAGCCAUUUGGCCUGCUGUUGGGGUUUCACAGCUUGUUUGGGUCAUCUGUUCGCAAGGGGAGGGCCUUAAUUGUGGAAUCAUGGCUGUUAACCACAUGAGGAUCAUCCCCAAGAGACUGGUGAUGGAACCCAGGCCAAUGGUGAGGAAGCGACCCAAGUAUGAAUCAGAGAUGAAAGCACCCAAAAGAGGCAUGAAAUUGGUAGCAGCAUUCCAGAGGAAGAUUGUGGUUGUAGCCUGGGCUACACCCAUAUGAUAGUCUUUUAUCAAGUAGAAUAUCAUGUUUGGUACAAGUCCAUAGCUUGCCACCUUCUCAAAAGCCUCAUUUGCUAUAAUGAAUGGCAUGGUAAUGAGGCCACCUUUUCUUCUUUUAGGAGUGUGUUGGUGGGUGGUCAUGACUUCCCCUUGUCCUGAAGCUGCAGGCUCUUCCAUCUUCUCCAUUGCUGCACUCUAGCUUCCUCAAGGAAUACCAGACCAGAGAAAGAAGAGAGAGAGAGAACUUACAAAAUCUUUUGUCCAAGGUGUUGCUUAGUUUAUGCUAUUUAUUGGACAAAGAAAGAAAGAUCUUUGUGUACAGCUGAACAAUAUUUAAAA